RNAcentral lists this ribosomal RNA (253 nucleotides) under uncultured bacterium. RNAcentral describes it as "partial 16S ribosomal RNA". It matches the Rfam family "Bacterial small subunit ribosomal RNA", at positions 524 to 776 of the family's 1533-position model. The record is from RNAcentral.
UACGAAGGGGGCUAGCGUUGUUCGGAAUUACUGGGCGUAAAGCGCACGUAGGCGGAUUGUUAAGUCAGAGGUGAAAUCCCGGAGCUCAACUUCGGAACUGCCUUUGAUACUGGCAAUCUAGAGUCCGGAAGAGGUUAGUGGAAUUCCCAGUGUAGAGGUGAAAUUCGUAGAUAUUGGGAAGAACACCAGUGGCGAAGGCGGCUAACUGGUCCGGUACUGACGCUGAGGAGCGAAAGCGUGGGGAGCGAACAGG